This 73-nucleotide transfer RNA is filed under the name Chloroflexota bacterium. Its description in RNAcentral is "Chloroflexi bacterium tRNA-Val". It matches the Rfam family "tRNA". From Rfam's summary of the family: Transfer RNA (tRNA) molecules are approximately 80 nucleotides in length. Their secondary structure includes four short double-helical elements and three loops (D, anti-codon, and T loops). Further hydrogen bonds mediate the characteristic L-shaped molecular structure. tRNAs have two regions of fundamental functional importance: the anti-codon, which is responsible for specific mRNA codon recognition, and the 3' end, to which the tRNAs corresponding amino acid is attached (by aminoacyl-tRNA synthetases). tRNAs cope with the degeneracy of the genetic code in two manners: having more than one tRNA (with a specific anti-codon) for a particular amino acid; and 'wobble' base-pairing, i.e. permitting non-standard base-pairing at the 3rd anti-codon position. RNAcentral also lists the same sequence under 4 other names. The record is from RNAcentral. Lineage: Bacteria; Bacillati; Chloroflexota.
GGGCGCAUAACUCAAUCGGCAGAGUGCCAUCCUUACAAGAUGGAAGUUACAGGUUCGAGUCCUGUUGUGCCCA